RNAcentral lists this ribosomal RNA (634 nucleotides) under Idiomarina sp. 017G. RNAcentral describes it as "bacterial SSU rRNA". It matches the Rfam family "Bacterial small subunit ribosomal RNA", at positions 901 to 1533 of the family's 1533-position model. Lineage: Bacteria; Pseudomonadati; Pseudomonadota; Gammaproteobacteria; Alteromonadales; Idiomarinaceae. The record is from RNAcentral.
UCAAAUGAAUUGACGGGGGCCCGCACAAGCGGUGGAGCAUGUGGUUUAAUUCGAUGCAACGCGAAGAACCUUACCAUCCCUUGACAUCCAGUGAACUUUCCAGAGAUGGAUUGGUGCCUUCGGGAACACUGAGACAGGUGCUGCAUGGCUGUCGUCAGCUCGUGUUGUGAGAUGUUGGGUUAAGUCCCGCAACGAGCGCAACCCUUAUCCUUAGUUGCCAGCACGUAAUGGUGGGAACUCUGGGGAGACUGCCGGUGAUAAACCGGAGGAAGGUGGGGACGACGUCAAGUCAUCAUGGCCCUUACGGGAUGGGCUACACACGUGCUACAAUGGCGCAUACAAAGGGCAGCAAGCCAGCGAUGGUUAGCGAAUCUCAUAAAGUGCGUCGUAGUCCGGAUCGGAGUCUGCAACUCGACUCCGUGAAGUCGGAAUCGCUAGUAAUCGUGGAUCAGAAUGCCACGGUGAAUACGUUCCCGGGCCUUGUACACACCGCCCGUCACACCAUGGGAGUGGGCUGCACCAGAAGUGGUUAGUUUAACCUUCGGGAGAACGAUCACCACGGUGUGGUUCAUGACUGGGGUGAAGUCGUAACAAGGUAGCCGUAGGGGAACCUGCGGCUGGAUCACCUCCUUAC